RNA transcript from Macrobrachium nipponense, 4672 nucleotides. It is a transcript of the gene named UDP-glycosyltransferase UGT5-like, with no coding region annotated. The transcript has 3 exons. Lineage: Eukaryota; Metazoa; Arthropoda; Malacostraca; Decapoda; Palaemonidae. The record is from RefSeq and is a predicted model, not a curated record.
UUUUUGAUCAAUUGAAAAAGUUAGCCUCUUGCAGGCCAGUAUAAGUAACCAGUCACAACGACGCUGAAGACCUAAGUUUGCUAAUUCAUUACUAACGGUGUUUACCGUUCCUAAUUGUGAAACGCACCAAAAGGCCUUUCAACAUUGGCCAUUCGAUGACUGAAGCCGUCUUUUGUUUAGGCAAGUGGGUGUAAAUUGAAAGAAACAAGUAGACCAUUACUCCGUUAUCCGUUGUCAGUGACAGGUGCUUGUUCGUUUUAUGGUGUUUUAAUAUCCAGGUGAGUCCCCUACAACCAUUAACCAACCAACUCUCUAUGGCACUGGAAACUAGGCAGUGAAAAAUAGGAGAAUUGCUUAAGGGGACUGCAGCUGCCAUCAGAUCUCUUUAGUGGCACUUUUGUAGAAACUAUUCAAUGGACCCCAGAGGCUUGGAACAUAAGUUAGAGGCGCAGAGGACAUCACUGCAAUCGGAGUCUCAAAGACAAAGGGGAAGAAACAGAAGUGGUACUGAAAGUAGUGAAGGAUUGUCAAAGGACCAAAUUCAAGGAAAUGUUGAAAGUUGCAUUUUUCUUGAAGAGGGCCCUCAUCAAGCUUCUGAAGAUUCAGCAAGUGUUCCUGUAUCAAGAGAGAGACCAAUAAAAGUUUCCAGAGGUCCACACCACCAGGCCAUGUUCCCCAAACAAGAUUUUUCUGUAGCUGAAAGAAAGGUGUGUAGUUCCAGUGUUCCACCAAGUCCACAGGUUGCAACUGACAAAGACUGGCAAUUUUCUGCAGCAGCUGAUAUAGCCACUGGUAUUGUAGGUACAUAUAGAAAAUUGUAUGAUUCUUCUUCACACAUGCCAACAAUCCAGGAUGAAACCACCAAAAAUAUUUUGCCCUGGCAAACAAAUGAAAGUAGUGAGUUCAGAGGAGUACCCCUCAAUUUGCCCAAAACAAAUGAAAAUGUUAGUAAGUCUGGUGAUUAUAAAGGUAAAGGUUUUGUUGGUAAAUUGAGAUCAAGAAAGGCAAAGGCCAUGCCAGUGAAUGAAGCUGCUCCUCAAAGUGCUUCUGCUUCCAGCAGUCCUACCUCCAGUGUUUCUUCACCUGCUUUAUUUGAAUUUCCUUCCAGCCCCUCGACUUCAGCAAGCCCCACAACGUCAACAAGCCCAACAAGCCCUACAUCUAAAAAAAGUCCCCUUUUGAGUUUUCUCCUUGGUCAUAAUAGGUACUCCGUGAAUACUUCUGGAAGCCCAACUUCACUUACAGCAUCCCCCCCAAGUAUUUCACCUGUAGUACAGUUUGGAUCUCCAUCUAGUAGCGAGUUUUCAGAAAACCCCACUACAUCAUCUGCUAAGCUUUCUCCCCAAAAUCCUUUAUUUGAUAGUGCUCAGUCAUUAGGGUCAAGUUAUUCCCAUGCUAGUCAGAAGGAUACAGGACCCCCUAAGUUUGUUAAAAGACUAAGGAAGAUUCUUCGCUCUCCAAGAAAUUUAAAGGACACUUCGGGCACUCGUGGGGUACCUAGAGAAGCAUUUAUAACCUCCUUAGGCAGUUUGGAUAUUGCUGGCAUUGGUAGUCCUAUAUCCCCUGAAAACACUGGUGUACUUGACAUUGAAGGCCAAAGUAAGCUUCCCACCAGAGAUCCCAGUGAAUUGUCUGCCUUGGGUCAUGAUGCCCACUUCAUGGGUGACCACCAUUCACUUUCUGCAAGGGAUUGCCAUCUACCUUCCACUGGAGAUAGUGGAGAAUCUUCUCUGGAACCUUUGGGAUUUUCUCCUAGGGAUCAGUAUAGUUUAUCUCCAGUGCCUCAUGGUCUGCCCCUUGUCUCCUACACAGAGAUUUCCCCUGGAACACACACCAAAGUCCUCUAUGAUGAAUCCUCCCCGGGGGAUGGUGGUGGUCGUUCAUCCAAAGCUAAAGCCAAAGGAAAAGGAAAAAAAGGAAAACAGGGAAAAGUGAAAAAAAUGAAAGAAUUUGAAAUGCAUAAAGAAUCUGAAUGUCAUCCUUCAGUACAUUUAGGUCAGCCAGAACUUGCUGUUUAUCAGCCAUCAGAAAAUCUGCCUAUUGAUGAAAGAAAUAUUGGGUUUAGUGAAACGCCACGAUCAUCCACAUCUAGAACAAGUCUGAGAUCAGCUAGUGGCAGGAGGAAGAAUGCUAAUGUGUCAAGGAAGGCAGAGACAAAAGAUGCCUCGCCCAGGUCAGAAGCUGCCUCGCCCAGGUCAGAAGCUGCCUCGCCCAGGUCAGAAGCUACCUCGCCCAGGUCAGAAGCUGUCUCUUCCCCUAGUUUGUCUCCAGGACAGCAGAGCUUUGGGCAAGCAAUAAGUCCUCCUUUAGAUGACCAAACUCCAUUAUCUUUAUUUGUACGUGUUUUUGACCUUGCACAAUUCCAGCAGACUACAAAGAGUGCGGUAGAGUAUGAGUGUGAACUGAAACCCCCUGAAAAAAGCACAGUACAUAUGUUAGCAUCAAAAAGCUCAGAUUCAUCAGGUAUUGUUAAACACAAAACUCGUCAGUUUUCAGACCCAAGACAGCUGGCCCCUUUCUCACCUGUUCAGCGUGAAACCUCAUUUUCAGAGCCAAGACAGAUAAUUACUACUUUAAAAAAUCAGUCUCGUCGUAGUCAACCGUAUCAGACAGGUCCUCAAGAUUUUCAAAGAGGAUUUGGUCAACCCUCACAAUCAUACCAUGGUGUUGCAGCUGAGCAGGAGGUACCUGUACAGGAUCAAAUAGAAAAUUUAACGUCUGAUAUUUCUGGUCAUAGGGAAACUGGUCAAGCUUACUCAUUAGUACCUCCAUUCACCCAGCCUCACCCGAGUAUGCAGCCAUCCAGACAGCAUCAAGGGUUAACAACCCCCAAGCCACCUUUUCCUCUCAUUUCCUCACAGAGUUUUCAGCAAGAGGACUAUGCUGUAGCAACACAAGGACACACGUCAAGCUCUUCAGUGCAGAAAUUUGAUGAAGUCCCUUUUUCAAGUUCAUCUUAUGAAUCCUCAUCAUCUCUUGACUUGACCUCACCACAACGGUACAGGCAAUCUCAACAACCAAAAACAAGUGUGAGACAGAGAUUGCCAGUUGCUGCAGCCAGUCGGCCAAGUCGUUCAGUGCAACCCCCACUACGAUCUCCACUUAAGCAGUCAGCACUUGCACUUCAGCGAAGAGGGGCCUUGUACUCGGAAAGCCAAUAUUCAACAGAGUCAGUUAAAGAUGACAGGCCAUUAAACUUGACACAAGGAAUACCAGCUCCCAGCCAUUCAAUACAUGAGUCAUCUACCAGUUAUCAGCCUAGUUCAUCAGGACAAGAGUCUCAUUUAGCAUUUCCUAGUGAAUUUCUCUCUGAAAACCAGUCAUCAAAUCAACCACUUGUAGAACAAAACCCAAUGUUGAAUUCUCUAUUAGAUAGAUCACCUGUCAGAAGAGUUGAUACUGAUGAGGGAAUGGCAGUUCUUAUGGCACAGCAGUUGGCCGUACAGUCUCCACAGAAACAAGCAUCACAAGAUCGAGAAAGACUGGGUUUUAGCUCUGGUCAGGUUUCCACUCCAAACCCUGUGGUGGGCACAGCAGCUGGGAUACAAGAAGCAUCUACUUCAAGUCUAACUCCUGUAAUGCUUCAGUCAAGCUCUUCAGAGCGGCCUUUCCCUGUGAAGUCUCAGAGUAAAUCUCCUUCACAUCGCUAUCAGAGGCAUAAGUCUCGCUCUAGAAGUCGGGGAUCCUCCCUUACAAGGGCAAUUGCCAGACGGCAGGCUGCAUCUCAGCUAUCUUCAGAAGAGUCGGAACGUGACUUGAGCCAGAAGAGAGAUCGACAAGGAGAUGCAUCAGAGUAAAAGGUAUAGAUUACAUGGCUACGGUUGAAAAAAGAACCGUAUGUUGAUACUGACAAAAAAAAAAAAAAAUCCAAAGCUGAUGCCAAAUCUGGUACUGAUAAAUGUAGUGUAGAUGCUGCUGGUGCCUGUAAGUGUUGGCUGCAGUUAAUCAAAGCAUCUUGGUUCCAGUCCAGCAGAAUCAUUAUUGGUAAGUCUCCUCAUCUCCAAAGGUGCAGAAGCAUUGAACCUACAGGAUUUGACACAUCUGAAAUAUUGACGAUAAAAAAAGUUCAAGUGAGGAGAGAGCGCUUCCACAAAUUUCAUAUUUUUAAUUGGACGAUUUUACAAUUUUAGGUGGGGACUCUUGAGUUAUAAAGUUAUUGAUUUUUAGACAUUGUAUAUAUUCCUAUUUAUAAAGUUAUUUUCUAACAUUGUUGUUGGCAAUUUAUAUUUUUAGGCUUUUAAAAUUUUUGUGAAAUUGUUUAGAGUUCAAUUCCAGUAAAUAGCCGUUUUUGCCUUUAUCCACUUCAGAUCAGACAUCUUAAUUUUUUGUAUGCUGGUUAACACAGAAGCAUUUAGAAAAUGUGACUGUUUCUUUUUGAUAAUGUUUUUGAACUGAGACCACUGGUCAGUAAGGUAAUUUUAGAAUGGAGCUUGUGUUGUAUAACUGUUCAUUUUUACCGAAAUAUUUGUGUGAUUUAUUUUUUACAUGUGUACAUAAGCCCUUUUGUUAGUCGAUAGUCUGUAUGCAGUUACAGAUUCAAUAUUUUAUUAUGCAGCAUACAAUAAAAAAAUAUUUUUUGAAAAACUUUAAAUGUCUAACCACAAAAGCAUUGCACAGGUUAGUUAGAAAAGGAAUUACACACCUGGUUUGGUUGUGCCGUGGUAGUGAUUUU